UACGGAGGGGGCAAGCGUUAUUCGGAAUUAUUGGGCGUAAAGGGCGCGUAGGUGGCCCGGUCAGCGUGCGGUGAAAGCCCGAGGCUCAACCUCGGGUCGGCCGUGCGAACUGGGUCACUGGAGCAGAAUAGAGGCAGGUGGAAUUCCGGGUGUAGCGGUGGAAUGCGUAGAGAUCCGGAAGAACACCGGUGGCGAAGGCGGCCUGCUGGGUUCUGGCUGACACUGAGGCGCGACAGCGUGGGGAGCAAACAGG
This 253-nucleotide ribosomal RNA is filed under the name uncultured bacterium. RNAcentral's name for it is "partial 16S ribosomal RNA". It matches the Rfam family "Bacterial small subunit ribosomal RNA", at positions 524 to 776 of the family's 1533-position model. The record is from RNAcentral.